Molecule: long non-coding RNA, 258 nt
Organism: Rhipicephalus microplus (southern cattle tick)
Lineage: Eukaryota; Metazoa; Arthropoda; Arachnida; Ixodida; Ixodidae
Source: RefSeq, a predicted model, not a curated record
UAAAUAAUGUCUCGAAGGUACUUUGGACGUAUGAUUAUCAAGGAGAAUGCGGAGUUUUUUUAUUUUGGAUGUAUGAACAUCGAUACUGUGAGCUCCACAUUCGAGAAGAAGGACUUCCCGGGCCGCAUACGCAUGACAUCUACCAUGUUUGCCUGACGUUAUACAGAUACACAUGUGAAUAUAAAUUCUCCAUUCCAGUACGUUACAAUGUGACAAGGCUUUAACACAUUAAAUAAAAAUGCAACUUUACUUUCGUAA